GACGAACGCUGGCGGCGUGCUUAACACAUGCAAGUCGAACGGAAAGGCCCUGCUUUUGUGGGGUGCUCGAGUGGCGAACGGGUGAGUAACACGUGAGUAACCUGCCCUUGACUUUGGGAUAACUUCAGGAAACUGGGGCUAAUACCGGAUAGGAGCUCCUGCUGCAUGGUGGGGGUUGGAAAGUUUCGGCGGUUGGGGAUGGACUCGCGGCUUAUCAGCUUGUUGGUGGGGUAGUGGCUUACCAAGGCUUUGACGGGUAGCCGGCCUGAGAGGGUGGCCGGCCACAUUGGGACUGGGAUACGGCCCAGACUCCUACGGGAGGCAGAAGUGGGGAAUAUUGCACAAUGGGCGGAAGCCUGAUGCAGCAACGCCGCGUGCGGGAUGACGGCCUUCGGGUUGUAAACCGCUUUCGCCUGUGACGAAGCGUGAGUGACGGUAAUGGGUAAAGAAGCACCGGCUAACUACGUG
Molecule: ribosomal RNA, 468 nt
Filed under: uncultured bacterium
Lineage: Bacteria
Description: partial 16S ribosomal RNA
Rfam family: Bacterial small subunit ribosomal RNA
Source: RNAcentral